Molecule: transfer RNA, 69 nt
Filed under: Coleoptera sp. 1 KM-2017
Lineage: Eukaryota; Metazoa; Arthropoda; Insecta; Coleoptera
Description: tRNA-Asn
Source: RNAcentral
UUAAUAGAAGCCAAAAUAGAGGCAUUUCAUUGUUAAUGAAAAUAUUGACUAAUUUUUAAUCCUAUUAAA